This 252-nucleotide ribosomal RNA is filed under the name uncultured bacterium. Its description in RNAcentral is "partial 16S ribosomal RNA". It matches the Rfam family "Bacterial small subunit ribosomal RNA", at positions 524 to 776 of the family's 1533-position model. The record is from RNAcentral.
UACGGAGGAUGCGAGCGUUAUCCGGAUUUAUUGGGUUUAAAGGGUGCGUAGGCGGGCUUUUAAGUCAGCGGUAAAAAUGCGGUGCUCAACGCCGUCGAGCCGUUGAAACUGGCGUUCUUGAGUGGGCGAGAAGUAUGCGGAAUGCGUGGUGUAGCGGUGAAAUGCAUAGAUAUCACGCAGAACUCCGAUUGCGAAGGCGGCAUACCGGCGCCCUACUGACGCUGAGGCACGAAAGCGUGGGUAUCGAACAGG